UAGGGAAUCUUCGGCAAUGGACGAAAGUCUGACCGAGCAACGCCGCGUGAGUGAAGAAGGUUUUCGGAUCGUAAAACUCUGUUGUUAGAGAAGAACAAGGACGUUAGUAACUGAACGUCCCCUGACGGUAUCUAACCAGAAAGCCACGGCUAACUACGUGCCAGCAGCCGCGGUAAUACGUAGGUGGCAAGCGUUGUCCGGAUUUAUUGGGCGUAAAGCGAGCGCAGGCGGUUUCUUAAGUCUGAUGUGAAAGCCCCCGGCUCAACCGGGGAGGGGAAUGGGAAGCUGGGAGACUUGAGGGCAGAAGAGGGGAGUGGAAUUCCAUGUGUAGCGGUGAAAUGCGUAGAUAUAUGGAGGAACACCAGUGGAGAAGGCGGCUCGCUGGUCUGUAACUGACGCGGAGGCUAGAAAGCGUGGGGAGCAAACAGG
RNAcentral lists this ribosomal RNA (429 nucleotides) under Gemmatimonadota bacterium. Its description in RNAcentral is "Gemmatimonadetes bacterium partial 16S ribosomal RNA". It matches the Rfam family "Bacterial small subunit ribosomal RNA", at positions 355 to 776 of the family's 1533-position model. Lineage: Bacteria; Pseudomonadati; Gemmatimonadota. The record is from RNAcentral.